Molecule: ribosomal RNA, 229 nt
Filed under: uncultured bacterium
Lineage: Bacteria
Description: partial 16S ribosomal RNA
Rfam family: Bacterial small subunit ribosomal RNA
Source: RNAcentral
UACGUAGGCGGAAAAUUAAGUCAGUAGUGAAAUCCUGCAGCUUAACUGUAGAACUGUUAUUGAUACUGGUUUUCUUGAAUAUAGUUGAGGUAGGCGGAAUGUGUAAUGUAGCGAUGAAAUGCUUAGAUAUUACACAGAACACCGAUUGCGAAGGCAGCUUACUAAGCUAUGAUUGACGCUGAGGUACGAAAGCGUGGGGAGCGAACAGGAUUAGAUACCCUGGUAGUCC